This 164-nucleotide small nuclear RNA is filed under the name Carlito syrichta (Philippine tarsier). RNAcentral's name for it is "U1 spliceosomal RNA (ENSTSYG00000033571.1)". It matches the Rfam family "U1 spliceosomal RNA". From Rfam's summary of the family: U1 is a small nuclear RNA (snRNA) component of the spliceosome (involved in pre-mRNA splicing). The record is from Rfam by way of RNAcentral. Lineage: Eukaryota; Metazoa; Chordata; Mammalia; Primates; Tarsiidae.
AUACUUACCUGGGAUGGGAGAUACCAUGAUCACAAAGUUGUUUUUCUCAGGGUGAGGCUUAUCCAUUGCACUCCAGAUAUGGAGAUCUCUGCGAUUUCCCCAAAUGUGGGAAACUUGACUGCAUAAUUUGUAGUAGUGGAGGACUGUGUUCGCAUUCUCCCCUG